AAUCUGUGAUGUGGGCAUUUCUGAAUCAACGUUUUAAAUGCUCUCAUGCUUCAUGAAAACUUUUCCCCUCUAACUGUUUGAACAUCAAAAUUUCCAUUCUUAGCU
RNAcentral lists this small nucleolar RNA (105 nucleotides) under Gossypium hirsutum (cotton). RNAcentral describes it as "Plant small nucleolar RNA R71". It matches the Rfam family "Plant small nucleolar RNA R71". Rfam says of the family: R71 is a member of the C/D box family of snoRNAs containing the C (UGAUGA) and D (CUGA) box motifs. Multiple nearly identical copies of this snoRNA have been identified in Arabidopsis, and it is thought to function as a 2'-O-ribose methylation guide for 18S ribosomal RNA. RNAcentral also lists the same sequence under 1 other name. The record is from Rfam by way of RNAcentral. Lineage: Eukaryota; Viridiplantae; Streptophyta; Magnoliopsida; Malvales; Malvaceae.